This is a long non-coding RNA of Helianthus annuus (common sunflower), 4380 nucleotides long. RefSeq lists it as uncharacterized. Lineage: Eukaryota; Viridiplantae; Streptophyta; Magnoliopsida; Asterales; Asteraceae. The transcript is spliced from 16 exons. The record is from RefSeq and is a predicted model, not a curated record.
GCCAGAUAAUUGUUGUUUGAGCGGCAAUUUCCUUUUCCUCAAUUCUCCUUCACUUUCAUAUGAGCGGCAAAAGGUUUUUCCUCCAUCCUCCUUCAUUCAAUUCAAUUUUGAAACCGCUAAUCUGUUGUUCAUAUGGAAACCGCAUCAAUCAUCAAUCAAUUGAAAAUUUUCUCAAACACACUUUCAUAAUACAUCUCUCUCUCCAAUCAAUCCUUUAAACCCUAAUUUCAAUUUCAUAUAUCUCUGCCUGUUACAUCGUUGUAUCUCUCUGUUCCAUCACAACCUAGAUCUCAGUCUAAAGCAACCAGCAAAAGAGGUAGCGAAACCAGGCAGUGGCUGUGUCUAGCGGCGGCAAUGGUGGUAUAAUGUUGAUGGUGGAGGAGUCGCGACAGCAGUGGUUUUGUGAGAUGUUGAAAGAAGAUGCAAAUAACGGAGAAGUGUCGUUUUAUGUACCUGUUGCACUCAAAGAAUUGAAUGAAAAUGUUGAUGAUUUGACCUUAGCAGAUUCCUCAGGUUUUAAUUUGGAGACUGUUGAGUACCAAAACAUUAGCUUCACAGUUCGGGAUGUCUGGGGUCAGGACAAGAUUCAUCCAUUAUGGAGGCACUAUUUCCAGAACACCCAGGGUCUUAUCUUUGAGGUUGAUAGCAACGACAGGGAUAGAGUUGUUGAGGUAAGAGAUGAAUUUCACAAGAUGUUGAAUGAAGUAAGUGAUUGAUUUGUUUAAAUAUAUGUCUGAUUGAUCACUUGUUGGAUUGUGGAGUACAUGUUGUGUGUCAUUGUUUCCUAUGUCAAUAACUACAUAGAUUUUGUUUUAGUUGUUCUCCUUAUGUUUGCUAACAAACAAGAUCUCCCAAAUGCAAUGAAUGCUGCUGAAAUCACCGAUAAGCUUGGUCUCCACUCUCUCCGACAGCGCUACUGGUACAUCCAGAGCACUUGUGCAACCUUCAGAGAAGGACUUUACGAAGGAUUGGACAGGCUUUUCAACAACAUAGCAAACAAGGCAUGAGGCAGUGAUUUGAUAACGUGAGGAUGGAUAUUGGCAGUUUGUGGUGCUACUGGUUUUGGAACUUGUUAUUUGAAAGGUACCUCGGAACAUGGACUUUAGCUUGGAUGUACAAAAGAUUACUGAAGUUAUUGAGCGUGAGAAACCAAAGAUCAUUUUUCUAACUUCUCCUAACAAUCCAGAUGGGAGAUACUUGAUCUACCAAAUCUUGUUGUACUGGAUGAAGCGUACAUUGAAUUUUCAGGACUUGAAUCAAAGAUGGGAUGGGUGAAGAAGCAUGAGAAUCUUAUUGUUCUUCGAACAUUUAGUAAAAGAGCAGGCCUAGCUGGACUACGAGUGGGAUAUGGAGCGUUUCCUUUGAGUAUAAUCGAAUACCUUUGGAGGGUAAAGCAACCAUAUAACGUGUCUGUUGCUACUCAAGUUUGUAUUUGGGAGAAGAUAUAAAUGCAGUUGCCAUCAAGGAGGUGAAAGAACUGGCUGUAGUCACUUCAUGUCUCAACCCGAGUGAUGGCAACUUUUGGAUAAGAUUUUCGUUUUCUUUUUAAGUUUGCGCAAUAGACUUGGUUUAGAGGUGGUGAAACAAGCCAACAGUCGGGUUGGUUAACUGGUACAUCUGACAUGUUCUAUAGGUUUUUCAGUUUAACUUGUGUUCGUUUGUAGUGAAGAAAUUCCGUAUCUGUCAGUUCUAGUUCUAAUGGGUGCCCGACCAUCUGGAAUCCUCAUGGAUUGAGAACGAAUACGGGCCAAUGAAGCUUGAACUUGGAGCACUGGCUUGCGGGUUUCCUUUUGGUGAUCUUAACAAAGUUUCAAGCCCUGAUGCUGAAUGCAAAGAUGGAAUCCUUCCCCUGUUUGGCCGAUCAAGGAAGUCGGUAGUGAAGUUGUGAUAGACAAGAGCUAAUUCAUCAAAACUUUUUUAAUGAAAAUCUUCGAGACAGUGGGAAUACAGAAAUUGAAGGUGUUGAUUCAACCAAUGCUUCUUAUGGUGGAACUGCAGCAUUGUCUAACUGUGUGAAUUGGGUGGAAAGUACUUCAUCGGAUGGAUGAUUUUGUCUCCACAGACAAAGUGGUAUAGCCAUUACUUGAGUAUAUUUACUAAAGAUCUAUUCUAAAGUUCAAUAUUAGCUAAAAUACAAAUCGGGUUAUGGUCCACUACUAAGUAGGGAUUAGCACGGUACUGUUCGAUACUGAACCGGUACUGGUACCGAAAACGAGAAAAGUGGGUAUCACUAUCAGUACCGAAUAUACUGGUUCGGUACCGGUAUUUACCACCCGUAAGUAAAUACCGGUACCGUACCGGUACCGGUACCGAAAAAAAUGUGGACCAAAAACACUAUCAUGACUUUAGUUUAAAAAAGUACUCUUUCUAAACUAGAUGGAUAUCUUUAAGUAUUGUUUCUAAACUACGGGCGAAACACGCUUCGAUUUUUUAAUGGAUUCGAGGAUGCGGUUAGUCCACUUAUGGGUGCGGCUUGGCCCGCACUCACUGAGUUGACUAAACCGACGCUUAAGUCAUCUUCGUUGGUGUCAUUAAAAGCACAUUCUAAUACUAGCUCAAUAAUUUCAUCACAAGUCGGUUCUUGGACUGACCAAAGACUUGAAGUGAUUAUUUUUUUUAAAAACCGAAACCGGGUUUUUUAAAAACUGGUUUUUUUCUAACCGGUAAGGGUGGAAACAUCAAAUAGUUUCUGCAGUUUUUUAAAGUUUUUUUAUAUUAUUUUUUUAUUUUUUUAAAUUUAAAUUUUUUUUAUUCUUUAAUUUUUUUUUUCAUCUCAUUCUUACCUGACUCAUCCUUACCCGAACCCAUCCUGACCCAUACCCAUCCUAACCCAAACCCAUCUUAAUCAAUUACCCAAACCCACUCCAGGAGCAUAUAUAUGUCUAUGAAAUUAUCAUUUCUCCCAGAGUCUUGCUGCAAGUAAGUACCUCUGACUUGUAUAUUUCAUACUCAAUCUUUUGUAGCCAUCUUCUUUUUCUUUAACAUGAGUUUUCAUAUAUUUAGGUCUGUAGGGGAAGUAAUCUGCCAUGGGAUUGCAGAUGUAAGAUUCUCAACACCUUAAACAUGAGGCCGAAGAUGGUAAAAAAAAGAGACAGAGAGUGGCGGAGUAAUGGCAGUCGCUCACGGUCUCUGGCUGGCCGUUCUAUUCCGACGAUUGGCAUCUACGGUGACAAGUAAAAAGAUGCGAUCUUGACAAGAUGUGGAGACAGAAUCGCCGAUUAUUGUAGUCUCUCACUAAUUUCUUUGGAUGCAUGCCUUGUUUCUAAACCUGCCGAUUCAUCUAAUCCGUGGGAUCAUAGCUCUGUGGAUUGUAACUUUAUAUGGAGGAAUUAGUCUACUGAAACUAUUCAUGAAGUUGUAGCACCUUAGCAUGUCAUCUUACCCGACCGGAUGAUAGGUAAAAUUUCUAUUUUCUUCAAAUUGUCAAUUUUAUAAGGUUUUAAAUAAGAGGGGAACACAUCGAACGUGUUGAAAGACAUAGAAAGUCUGUUUUUAUUCAUUAACUUCCUAAGUUAGAUCAUCAUUGUAAAAGUAUAUCUCUAUAAUCCUAAUAUUUAUAAAAAACUGAUGGACAAAAUUUGUUGGUUAACUUAGCACAACCCAUUUGACUCGCAUUCAAAAUGAUUGCUUUCAACCUAUAUCCAUUUUGAUCCGCAUUUAAAAUGGUUUGUUUAAACCCGUACCCAUUUUGACCUGGUACCCAACCUGUUCUACCCCCAAUGCUUACUGUAUAUGCUUCUCAAUUUGUUUCGCUUACUAUAUGUUUUCCUGUAACUUCACCUUUUUUACUUAUUUGUUCUGGAGGGUAUAACGGUAAAGUGGUCUCUUACAUGCUAGAGAAGGGAUUGUUUUUAGCUCUUGCAUUUGAGAGGCAAUGAAGCAAAAUGUCUCCUUCAAGGAAUAACAAAGAGCACUAGACAAAUAAUUGAGGAACAAGAAUUAGUAUGUUGACGUUUGUUUAACAAUUUAUGGCAACAAGAGUAGGUUAGGAUAAUGGGUCCAUUUGGGUUUGGGGUUGAAAUCGUCAUUUUUACUCCUAUUCCGACAUCAUUAUAUAACUUUUCAACUACUUGCAAUGACAUUUCGAUAUAUAACCUUUUUCGUCCUCAAAAGUGUUAACUCUAUUGAUUCAGUGACCAAGGUGUUGGUGGGUAAGUUCAUUUAGUCCAAAAAGCUUUAUUUCCACGCUUAAUAUAGGUUGAAGAACAUAGAAUAUGGAGGUGGCAAGAUGGUCGUGUUGAAAAGAAUCAGUCCAGGUCGGUUGAAGAAAUCUUUAACGAUUUGUGAUUUUUUCUCAUUCAUGUAUUUCAAUUAUUCAGUGUACUCUAAUAUUUACGUUAGUAGUUUAACAUUUAUAUAAUUAAAAUAUUUGUUUCAACA